Non-coding RNA from Phodopus roborovskii (desert hamster), 401 nucleotides. NCBI's taxonomy places the organism in Eukaryota, Metazoa, Chordata, Mammalia, Rodentia, Cricetidae. The record is from the annotation of a RefSeq genome assembly.
CCUCUCCACAGUCACUGAGCACACAGGUCCUCACCAUGGGAUGGAGCUGGAUCAUUCUCUUCCUGGUGACAGCAGCUACAGGUGUCCACUCCCAGGUCAAGCUGGAGCAGUCUGGGGCUGAGCUGGUGAAAUCUGGGUCCUCUAUGAAGUUGUCCUGCAAGGCUUCAGGCUACACCUUCACUAGCUACUAUAUCAGCUGGCUGAAGCAGAAAUCUGGACAGGGCCUGGAGUGGAUUGGAAAUAUUGGUUGUGGAGGUGGUGGUACUUACUAUAAUUCAAAGUUCCAGGGAAAAGCCACACUGACUGUAGACACAUACUCCAGCACAGUGUACAUGGAGCUCAGCAGCCUGACAUCUGAGGACUCUGCAGUCUAUUACUGUGCAAGACACACAGUGUUGUAA